UUCAUUUUAAAAAAUCAUCUAAAUUAUCUUGGUCUCAGUUAACGUCUGUAUAGCACGCAACUGCCCAACCUACAGCUCCCCACCUCACUUGAUGUAUGAUACUCACUCUUCAAUCCCAUACACUUAGAUUUAAUAUGCACUUUUGCAUCCAGUUGAUUAUUCAGACACAUUGUUGAUUUAAUCAAGAAUAUAUGGAUUUGUAUUCCCUUCAGUACCAAGGUGACCUGAAAGAGGUAUAUGGGACCUAGGUGGGGUACAGAAUCAAGAUCUUUUCCCUUUGGCAGGGGUAUCAAGAGCAGGACAAGGAAGGAGUUUUAAAAGGAAUAAAUAAGAGGGUAGUGCCUUACAACAGGAGUGACUAAUAUCUGCCAGAUGAGGUGGUGAAAUCAUCCAGGUGUGAAUAUAAACAGGCAAAGCAUAUUAAGAUGUAGACUUGUGGGCAAAAAAAGAUUGGUGUGCAUGUGAUGGGCUUUACAAUUUUACGUUCUGUAAUGCAAAACUUGCAAAUCUUAUACAAAAUCUGCCAUAAGUUACCUUAUAUAUAAAAGGAACCAAAAUUUCACAAACUGGUUAAAAACCACUGACACUAAAAAUGAGAAAACAAUGAAGGAAAUUUGAGCCAAUGGUCAUCCAGAGUUUAAAGCAAAUGUUGGAGAAAACAAGCACUGUAGUGCUACAUGCCCUGCCAGACCUUGUCAUAUAUUUCAAAAGUAAUUCAACUUAUCUAUCCCUUUCCCAAUCAGGCUUUUUAGUAUUGAGCCAUGGCUAUUUCUGAUUUUCCAUCAGCAAGUUCAUGACCUCUCCUUGCCCUCUUGAUGACAGUUCAUGCCUCAGGAUUUAAAAACAGAAAGCACUUGGCACAUUAAUUCUGCAAUUCGUCAUUCUCCUCCAAAGGACAGUGUCUGUGCAAGGCUUCCUCUGUGUAUAUUUCAGAAAUGGUUCUCAACACAGCAGCUUCAAAUUAACAAAUCAUCAAAUGAAACCUGGCAUCCAGGGCAGAAUAAAAUCAGAGAGCCUAGAAUGCACAUGAAAUGAAAUUCAUGAAAUGACAGCUCCGCAGUUGACACAGUUCUGCCACAGUAUUCACCAAAGAAUGGGUCCAAUUGAUGUUCCUGAACUCGGCAGUCCCAUCAAGCAACUUAAUAUUGCUUAAUUUCCUUCAGGUUUUUUUUUGCGUGGUAAAUCUCUACAGUGGCCCUAUUUUUCAUUAUCUGUCCACACACAGCACCAGCACAAUCUAACAACCUGAAAGACUUGUUCCACUUCACUUGUGUAGCAAUUUACAAUGCCGACUUAUCACACAGCUUGCACGCAGGGAAGGAUGUAUCGUCAAGACACUUUGAACAGAUCCAGAUAUUUUCAUUCACAUAAAAUGUAUCAAGUUUCAACCAAAGAACCAUUUACUUCGGUAUUAUCCCAAGGUCUGGAUUAAGGAUGAGUUGUUUACAAAUAACUGGAGACCCGCUUCACACUGUAUCUCAAGAACUGCCGAGCUAACCACAGUUCCUUGGUUACAAAGAAGAAGACAGUGAAAGACCGGGCCUUGUUCUUUUUUUAUUAAUAAAUGUGCUGCCAUAGCAUCUGAGGAAUUUGUUUCCUCGCCCACUUAAAGGUGCAUAAUCUCUGCUGCAAACACCGCAACCAUCAAACAGGCAAAGCCUGAUGAACGGAAUGCAAGGCGCCCCUUGCAUUCUUGGUCGCCGUUUCCCUCACUGGGAGGGGGACAGGGUACGCGACAGAGUGAAUCUUACUCUGGACACAAGGACGGGACGAAGCACGCUGCAGCCUGAGUUUGACCCGGGUCACAGCGCCGAGCGCUCGGACUGGGCAGGUUUACAGAGCGGGUCUCGCCGCCCCGCAGCGACCGCACUGUUGCGAGUAGCCCCGGUAAAACAGGACACGUUUAUUUUCACUACCUCAUCUUCAUCCAAACGAACAACGUUGCGCCUUCUGGACAGUCGUUUUAGUGCUACGUGAAAGUAGGACAACGUCGCUUUGUUAACGCCGCUGCCGAGUCCACUCGCACCCCUCCCCAGCAUCCUCGGUAAUCGGGCUCUCGUAUUCGAAACAGGCUCCGAGGGCAACAGAGACGAAUUUAGCGUAAACUGUGGUUUUUGCUCGUGGGGAGAAUUUUAAUUGCGCCCUGUUAACCAAAGGAUCAGUGUGCUUUGAAUGUUGUUGCAUUGUAAUCAAAUAUGAACUACAGGACUGUUUCUAAGAGCGAGAAUUUAUAGGAAUAUGUUCGCCAUUCGUUAACGUAAAUGAAAAUAUGACAUCGGAUCUCCGGUUCUCUAUUCGACAACCACAUAUUAUUAAAGCGCUUCAAUGCAUUGAGUGCAAAGGUAAUUCCAAUCUGUGCUGUGGCGCACAUGAAUGAUACUGCAAAGAAACUAGAAUCGGGACUGCUGCUACCCCAAAACUACAAAUCCCUCUGCUGAAUAAAUUUCUUUGUUAAAUUCCAUAGACUGACACUAUUUCAACUUUUACACGCUGCCGAGUAGAUAACUUGAGGCCAGGGAAGGAAACCUGGGCGUCUCGUUGAGUCUGAUUUAGGGGGCUACGAAUAGUUCAAAGCAUAUUUUGACCAUUUGGUCUGCGCGCACGGACAAAUGCAGAAUCGACUAAUCGGACAGCACAAGUUGCAAUGCCUUUGCUUGUCCGCAAUGUCCCGUGAAAUUUCUUUCCAUAUCGUUAGUGUUGGGAAAACCGCGGCUCCAACAUGUUUGGCAGUCAUCUGUAUCCAGUGGAUACGAUUCCAGCCUAGUUUCGUCUUCCACAACCAGGCCGAAGACGACGAAAUUUAAUUUCCAACGAUACUGAACUAUGAUUGACAAUCAUGGGUGGUCGGGAGCAAAAUUGGUUAACCUACUCUCUCCGCCGUUGGGCGCACUGAUAUAAACAACUUGGAUUUUUAAACAUUCUCCUCUAAAUCUUCAUGGGACAGGGAAGAUUGAAGUUUUACAACAAGCCCACAGAUAAAAAGUUCUUCAGAUUUACAAAAUGCAGAUGAUUGAAGCAUGUAGCUUUGAUUUGUUCCUCCCCUCACCAUGACCAAUCCCUUAUGUCUCUCUUCUUCAACAUUAUCCUGCCUGGACAGAUAAUGGGGAUAUCAGCUGGAGGAAGUGGAGCAGAAGACACGUUGCCAGUCAGGCAGACACUUUGUAGACCCCAGCUCAUUUACUGGCACUUUACUGGCUACAGCAAUCAGCUUUGCUGCAGGAUCUGUGGACAUUUCUGGAGACAAGGCAAGGUGAAGAUUAAACUUGGUGGCAACUGCCCUGUUCUGCUUCUGAAGAUUCUGGAGGCCUUCUAUUCUUGAAGAAAUGCCUGUGGUAGAGGUAGGCUUUCCUGGAAGCCUGAACAAUCUGUAAAGCAAUACAAAUGAAGUUUGGCUCUAAAACAGCACUUGGGCUUUAUCUGGAGCUAGCGACCAUUCAAUCAUCACUUUCCUGUUAACAUCUGUGGAGCCACCCAUAAUGUAGAAUUUGAUCAUCUGUGAUUCAGUUUCAACUGGAAACAGAAUUAAAAUCCCAACCUGUUUCAGUAUUUGUGCAGCAACUUCCAUUAGCUACAACCUUUGGGGAGCAUUUAAUAGAAACAGUAGGAGAUGGUGCCAGAUAACGGAUGGCACUGUGGCACAGCUAGCAGAACUGCUGCCUUACAGUUCCAGAAUCCCAGGUUCAAUCUCAACCAUCGGUGCUGUGAACAAUUUGUACAUUCUUCACCUGACUCUCCAGGUUUCUUCCAGGUCCUCUAGUUCCCUCACACGUUCCAAAAGGAAACUUGGCCACAGUGAUUUCCCCAAGUGUGUAGCUGGAAGCUGAUUUGCUGCCUGUUCUGACUCUGAAGGGGUACAUUCUUCACAGCUGUCCACCUACAAAUGCUACAGUCACCACACAACCAUCUGGCAGCUUAGACAUAUGCCACUGUAGUCAUCAGCUUCCUUUCUAACACCAGUUUUGUUCAGCAGCUGAAGAACACAAUAGAAACCACAAGAAAUAACUGGAACGUGGCUUGGCAAUAUCGACGCUGUUCGCAUUUUUUGCUAUUUUUUUACAAACUUCGCAACUUGAAUGAAAAACUUCCCAAAUAUUCAUUGUAUCAGUGAUCAGAGAGCACUGGCCCUUUCAAAUUAAACAGUGGAAGCAGCUCUGCAUCAUAGUCAUUAUUAAUGAGAAGCAAUCCUGUUGAAAAAAGGUUGACCUAUUCUUUUAAAUAAUGUCUCUAUAUUGCUUAGAAAUAAUUAUUAAGUCUGUUAUAAAAAAGGUUAAAA
Long non-coding RNA from Hypanus sabinus (Atlantic stingray), 4273 nucleotides. RefSeq lists it as uncharacterized. The transcript has 4 exons. Lineage: Eukaryota; Metazoa; Chordata; Chondrichthyes; Myliobatiformes; Dasyatidae. The record is from RefSeq and is a predicted model, not a curated record.